This is a non-coding RNA of Camellia sinensis, 1201 nucleotides long. NCBI's taxonomy places the organism in Eukaryota, Viridiplantae, Streptophyta, Magnoliopsida, Ericales, Theaceae. The record is from RefSeq and is a predicted model, not a curated record.
AAUUAAUAUAUUUAUAAUAUAUCUUCAUAUAAUUAUUGAUUGUAGGAAUACUUGAAAAAAUAAAGCUACUUCAGCUUUGGGAGAAUUAUCAAGAGGAGGCAAAUAUGGUUGCAGAUAAGAAAGUUAAAAAUCAGGUCAAACAGUUCUCUAUAUAUAGUCUUGGAUGGAAGGUCUCUAUUAAAGUUGAGAAAAAACAAUUGGGAAAAUUAAUUGUGCGAGAGCUUUUGAGGCAACGACAACUUCGAAAUCAUAUCAUAUCUAAUAGAGCAAGUAUAUGCAGCGAAGACAAUAUGGACAUAUAUGUGGUAAAAAAUCAUGUCGUAUGAACUUUACUGCUGUGCUGCAUAUAUUCAUAUUUGUGAAUUUACAAAUUAAUUUUAGAUUUUAUAAAUUUGUCAAACAAUCAACUUACAAGGAAGUGAGAUAUUUUUCCUCAGUUUUAUAGGCAACAAUGAUACAAAAAUUGAAAGCUUACAAAUAUAUGUGCAACGUUGUUACAAGGUGUUAGUAAUGGGCGCCCAUGUGGCAUGACCAUUUAAAUUUAAAUUUGAUCCUUAUCCAAAUAGGUUUUGAAUUUGAAUUCAAACCUAUUUAGGAUAACCACUCAAGAUACAGAUGUUAUCAGUUUUAACUGAUAUGGAUAGAUAUUAUAAUAUAUUAUAUAUCUGAUAUAUGGUUAUGGGUAAUCCAAGUGAGAAACAACGUAUAGUCUGUUUCUACCCAUAUACUGACUCUCUCCCAAAAACACAACGAUCAAGUCUUUGCACUGUGAUUUUGUGUGGGUGAUAUUCAAUCUGUGAUAUCACUCCACUGCUGGGUUGAUUUAUCAGUUUUCUGGAAGCACGUGAUUUAUCCAAGAAGGUUCUAUCAUCAAGAAGGUAUGAUCUGAUUAUUUUAUCCGCUGCAUAUUCUGUGUUUUUAGUUUACACAAGGUAAUCUACUUAUAGGUUUCUAUGUAUAACAAAAGUUACGUACUUCAUUUUUUGUCAAUUCCAUCUUAUUUUUUGUAAUUUAAUGUUGUCAUAGAUCUAUGGCAAAAAUUGCAUCAAAACAAUUUGAAGAGAUUAUUGAACGUGAAAUUUGAUAUGGACUAUGUCAAUUUAUGUCAAUAUGAUCUCUGGUCUCAUGUUACCAAAUUUAGAUUUCAUAUGAAGUUUUAUUGUACAGGUUUUUUUAGUUAAGAUUUUUUAAACGAUGUGUA